This is an RNA transcript of Ooceraea biroi (clonal raider ant), 3643 nucleotides long. It is a transcript of the gene named mitochondrial ribosomal protein S6, with no coding region annotated. The record is from RefSeq and is a predicted model, not a curated record. Lineage: Eukaryota; Metazoa; Arthropoda; Insecta; Hymenoptera; Formicidae.
AUUAGGGACACCAGUUUUCCCGCGGUUUUUAGAGAAGAGUUGGCGCCGUUAAAUAGUGUCGUGUUAUAUAUAUAUAUAUAUAUAUAUAUUUUUUUUUAAUCGUGAGUGAGUAAAGUCGUAAAGUAUAAAGAAGGAAAAAUGGAUUCACAGCCGUCGACAUCAAGUGGCAUCACCGAAAAGCAGAAAAAGUCAAAAAGGAAAGUAUUCAAAAAUUCUUGGUUAAGUAUUGACAUUUUAAAAAAAUGGUUAACAUCACAUGAAGAUAAUGAAAAAGCUCUCUGCACGGCUUGUAAUAAAGUUUUGUUAUGCGGAAAAUCAGAUUUAAUAAGACAUUCGAGAACAAAAUUACAUAUUAAGAAUAUUAGUGAAGGCCUUCAUAUCACACCAUCUGCUUCAUUAUCUAAGCCCAAUAUUAAAGAUGAGGACCAUGUUAAGAAAGUUAAAACAGCCGAAAUAAAAUUAGCUGCAUUUUACGCGGAACACAACAUAGCUUUUCAAACUUUAGAUCACAUGGUCCCUUUAUUAAAAGAUAUUUGUUCUGAUCCACAAGUGGUAAACGAUCUAAAACUGUCAAGGAGAAAAUGUACUGCAAUAAUAAAAAAUGUUUUAGGAAAACGCGAAAGUCAUAAACUUAUUACAAACUUAAAAACUCAAAAAUUUUCUAUUCUAAUAGAUGAGAGUACAAAUAUCACUAAUAAUAAAUUGCUUUGUAUAUUAGUAAAGUACAUAUCGUUAGACAGUAAAAAAUGUAUGACACAAUUAUUAGAAUUAAUAUCAUUAGAUGCAACAGAUUGUUCUGCAGACAAAUUAUAUUCUGCAUUUGAAAAAUGUUUGAAAAGUAAAGAUAUACCAUUAUCAAAUAUUAUUGGAAUGGCUUGUGAUAAUGCUUCUGUGAUGAUAGGAGAGCACAAUUCUUUUAUGAGUAGAUUAAGAAAAGAGGUACCGGCCCUCAUUGUGUUAAAAUGUAUAUGCCAUUCCUCAGCUCUCAUCGCGAGUAAAGCUUGUUCAAAAUUGCCGGAUUCUUGUGAUAAUCUUUUGCAUGCAGUCGCAACAUAUUUUUCUGGCAGUGCAAAAAGAUCAGCGAUCUUGUGCGAAUUUCAAACCUUCUUUGAUGUAGAGUCACGUAAAAUUUUAAAAUUAUCUAAUACUAGAUGGCUAGUUUUGCAGAAAUGUGUUACUAGACUUCUCGAGAACUGGGACGUCUUGAAGCAUUAUUUCUAUUUAGAGACAAUUGAAAAUAAUAACAAUUCGGCAGUAACAAUUUCCAAUACAUUAAAUGAUAAUGCAAUUAAAGCAUAUAUGCUAUUUUUAAAAUAUUCUUUGAAUUUUUUAAAUGAUUUUAAUGCUUUGUUUCAAGGUAGACAAAUUUUAAUUCACAAAUUAGCAGAGAGUAGUGAGCAUUUAAUAAAGCAGAUGGGAUACAAUUUUUUGCUGCCUACCACGUUAAACACUAUUUCUUUAGAUGUCAUUAAUCCGUCAAAUUUUUUACCUGUAACUUCUAUAUAUCUUGGGUCAGAAUGCGAAUCAUUUUUGCAAUCAGAAUCGUCAGAAUUUAUAACGGAAAUAAAAUCUAAAUGUUUAUCUUUUUAUACAACCGCGGUAAAAGAAAUUAUACAACGAUUACCUUAUAAUGACAAAAUUUUUCGCGAACUUAAAUUUUUAAAUCCAAAUGUAGCUUUGCGCGAGGAAAGUAGACUUACCUUUCCAGAUUUGAGGCACGUAGCAAAAACUUUUCAAAUUUCUGAUAUUACGGCCUUAGCUUAUGAAUGGAGAACGUUACCUUUUGUAUUUGAUGACGCGGAAAAAACUCUUUUGGCUAAUUUAGAAAUUGAUGAUAUGUGGAAGAAUAUUUUUCAAAAAAAGAAAUUCAAUAAUGAACCAUUUUUUCCAAAUUUAGAGAAUUUAGUAUACGCGGUUUUGGCACUUCCACAUUCUAACGCCGAAGCAGAGAGAAUAUUUUCUAUUGUUACAGAUAUGAAGAAUAAAAAGAGGAAUCGGAUUGAUAUCAACAGUUUAAACGCGGUUUGUAAAUAACCUUCUGGAAUUAAACGCCUCCAAGUCAUCGAAAAUAUAAAAUAAGAACUGUUAGAUGUUAAAUUUUAUAUUGCUAUAUUAAGUGCAUUACAUAUAUUAAGAUAUAUUUAUUGUAAUUUUAUUUAUUAUACGUACAUAAUUUUAAGAAAAAUAUAUUAAUAUGUAUUUAUGAAAUAUUACUUAAGUAUGUGUAUAUUUACAUUUAGGUAUAAGUUAUAGAUAAUAAGUAUAUUGCAAUAAUAAGUAUUAAUAACUGUUAAUAGGUAAUAAUUAAUAUUUAGUAUAUGUAUAAAUGUAUAUAUUCACAUGUUAUUUCUUAUGUAUAUUUUUAUAAGAAUACUGGUAAGAUUUUCUGCAGUUUCCCUUACCCCCGCAACGAAUGUUGGUAUUCAUAUAAUAAAUCGGCUGCAGACAUUAAAAAUAAAUAAUACAUUUUCUUAUUAUCAUUAAUAAUUCUAUAUCUUAUUAUUUCAUAUCCUUGAUAGAAACUUCUUAUUAAAGAAAUUCCUUACUUAAGAAACUUCCUUCUCUCCUUGCAACUUCUUUUAUAUUUCUCUUCUCGUUCGAACCUAACGAUACCUCAUUUUGACCACAGUAUAUACGUUACUGAGGUGCCAUUUUGCUGUGACGUCAGCUUACGCAUGCGCGCGGAAGCUCCCGCGUGGGGGAAAAAUCCCACGACUGCCCAACACUCCGGCAAUCUCGGGCAGUGGAAGCAAAUAAACAUGAUUUUCUGUCUCUCCCGCUCGGACGAGUAGCAAAACCAAUCUGAUUGGCUGAGAGAUAAUCUUAGGUAUAUCUUUUAGAUACUGAUACAGUUCUAUGAUUAGCUAACAAAUAUCUUAACAUAUAUUUAGUGUCCACGAUCCAAGUUCUUGGUCAAAGUUCUAGGUCCGAGAAAUGUGUAGCCAAUCAACAUGCAGCUUUUAUGUAAAAACUGUAAGUUCAUUGGCUACACAUUUCUCGGAACUAGAACUUUGACAAAGUUCUUGGAUCGUGGACACAGGCCUUUAUUACGGACUAUUUAGAUCCCGGCUGAUGCCAUUUUUAGUUCUCGGAAAGCCUGCUACGAGCCUCCACUGUUUCUGAUCCAACACGAGGUAGUACGAAUCAAUAUUGAGUCGGACGCGAUUUUUAUUUUAAAUAGUCUAAUAUAUUUUAUAGAUUAGAUAAAAAGCUUUUAGGAAUAAAAGACGCUUCUAACGACGAAGGAGUAUCACUAACCGCUUAUCAAAUGCUCUUUUCUACUUAAUGCAGUCAAUGUUGCAAGUCACAUCGAUGCUGUUUGAAUAUUCGAUAAAUCGUGCUUGCAUCUACGUGUAUGUUAGUGUCUGCUUUAUGUUUACGUGGUGUACAUGUUUUCUUGAUAGCCAAAGUGUCGGUGUAUUAAAAUAGUGACGCUGUAUAAUUACUACUGUAUUUUUGAAAUUGUAAAAAGUAAUUAAAAAAGAACGCAAAUAUGCCGACAUACGAAAUGCCGCUGAUAAUACGUAUGAUGAAAAAGCCACUUUUUUAUACGGUUUGAUUCACCUCCAUCGGAAAUAGAUAAACUCCUGGACGAAUGUUCCAGAGAUAUCGAUAUUGUUAGGCUAAAGGUAUUCGCAGAAAA